RNAcentral lists this ribosomal RNA (230 nucleotides) under uncultured Acanthamoeba. RNAcentral's name for it is "partial 18S ribosomal RNA". It matches the Rfam family "Eukaryotic small subunit ribosomal RNA", at positions 97 to 279 of the family's 1831-position model. The record is from RNAcentral. Lineage: Eukaryota; Discosea; Longamoebia; Acanthamoebidae.
CUCAUUAAAUCAGUUAUAGUUUAUUUGAUGGUCUCUUUGUCUUUUUUUUACCUACUUGGAUAACCGUGGUAAUUCUAGAGCUAAUACAUGCGCAAGGUCCCGAGCGCGGGGGGGCAGGGCUUCACGGCCCUGUCCUUGCAUGCGUAGCGGGGAUGUAUUUAUUAGGGUUAAACAACCAGCAUUUUUCAUCAUCUGGUGAUUCAUAGUAACUCUUUCGGAUCGCAUUCAUG